GCUGUUCGGUGAUGAGGCUCAGAGUGCACGCUGGGCACAGCGCCCGAAUCAGACACUGUGGAACCAUUCUCUACUGCCUUCCUUCUGAGAACAGC
This 95-nucleotide small nucleolar RNA is filed under the name Callithrix jacchus (white-tufted-ear marmoset). Its description in RNAcentral is "Small nucleolar RNA U83B (ENSCJAG00000072506.1, ENSCJAG00000073313.1, ENSCJAG00000080900.1)". It matches the Rfam family "Small nucleolar RNA U83B". Rfam says of the family: U83B belongs to the C/D family of snoRNAs. U83B like U83A has no documented RNA target and they share the same host gene with the C/D box snoRNA U43 (RPL3). The record is from Rfam by way of RNAcentral. Lineage: Eukaryota; Metazoa; Chordata; Mammalia; Primates; Cebidae.